Molecule: ribosomal RNA, 168 nt
Filed under: Providencia rettgeri
Lineage: Bacteria; Pseudomonadati; Pseudomonadota; Gammaproteobacteria; Enterobacterales; Morganellaceae
Description: partial 23S ribosomal RNA
Rfam family: Bacterial large subunit ribosomal RNA
Source: RNAcentral
GGGUUGUGAGGUUAAGCGACUAAGCGUACACGGUGGAUGCCUAGGCAAUCAGAGGCGAUGAAGGACGUGCUAAUCUGCGAUAAGCGUCGGUAAGGUGAUAUGAACCGUUAUACCCGACGAUUUCCGAAUGGGGAAACCCAGUGCAAUUCGUUGCACUAUCGUUUGAUG